RNAcentral lists this ribosomal RNA (253 nucleotides) under uncultured bacterium. Its description in RNAcentral is "partial 16S ribosomal RNA". It matches the Rfam family "Bacterial small subunit ribosomal RNA", at positions 524 to 776 of the family's 1533-position model. The record is from RNAcentral.
UACGUAGGUGGCGAGCGUUGUCCGGAUUUACUGGGCGUAAAGGGAGCGUAGGCGGACUUUUAAGUGGGAUGUGAAAUACUCGGGCUCAACUUGAGUGCUGCAUUUCAAACUGGAAGUCUAGAGUGCAGGAGAGGGGAAUGGAAUUCCUAGUGUAGCGGUGAAAUGCGUAGAGAUUAGGAAGAACACCAGUGGCGAAGGCGAUUCUCUGGACUGUAACUGACGCUGAGGCUCGAAAGCGUGGGGAGCAAAUAGG